RNAcentral lists this ribosomal RNA (506 nucleotides) under uncultured bacterium. Its description in RNAcentral is "bacterial SSU rRNA". It matches the Rfam family "Bacterial small subunit ribosomal RNA", at positions 251 to 754 of the family's 1533-position model. The record is from RNAcentral.
GGGGAGGUAACGGCUUACCAUGGCAACGAUGGGUAGGGGUCCUGAGAGGGAGAUCCCCCACACUGGUACUGAGACACGGACCAGACUCCUACGGGAGGCAGCAGUGAGGAAUAUUGGACAAUGGGCGCAAGCCUGAUCCAGCCAUGCCGCGUGCAGGAAGAAGGUCCUAUGGAUUGUAAACUGCUUUUAUACAGGAAGAAACAACGCUACGUGUAGCGUCUUGACGGUACUGUAUGAAUAAGGACCGGCUAACUCCGUGCCAGCAGCCGCGGUAAUACGGAGGGUCCAAGCGUUAUCCGGAAUCAUUGGGUUUAAAGGGUCCGUAGGCGGCCAAAUAAGUCAGUGGUGAAAGCCCAUCGCUCAACGAUGGAACGGCCAUUGAUACUGUUUGGCUUGAAUUAUUAGGAAGUAACUAGAAUAUGUAGUGUAGCGGUGAAAUGCUUAGAGAUUACAUGGAAUACCAAUUGCGAAGGCAGGUUACUACUAAUAUAUUGACGCUGAUGGAC